This 148-nucleotide small RNA is filed under the name Pongo abelii (Sumatran orangutan). RNAcentral's name for it is "Metazoan signal recognition particle RNA (ENSPPYG00000041515.1)". It matches the Rfam family "Metazoan signal recognition particle RNA". From Rfam's summary of the family: The signal recognition particle (SRP) is a universally conserved ribonucleoprotein. It is involved in the co-translational targeting of proteins to membranes. The eukaryotic SRP consists of a 300-nucleotide 7S RNA and six proteins: SRPs 72, 68, 54, 19, 14, and 9. The record is from Rfam by way of RNAcentral. Lineage: Eukaryota; Metazoa; Chordata; Mammalia; Primates; Hominidae.
GCCAGGUGUGGUGAUGCAUGCCUGUAAUCCCAGUUACUUGGGAGGCUGAGGCAGGAGACUCACUUGAACCCAGGAGACAGCAGUUGCAGUGAGCUGAGAUCAUGCCACUGCACUGCAGCCUGGGCAACAGAGUGAGACUCUGUCUCAA